Molecule: non-coding RNA, 28 nt
Filed under: Homo sapiens (human)
Lineage: Eukaryota; Metazoa; Chordata; Mammalia; Primates; Hominidae
Source: RNAcentral
UGGAGUGCCAAUACACAACAUGGAUUGU